This 477-nucleotide long non-coding RNA is filed under the name Polistes fuscatus (common paper wasp). Its description in RNAcentral is "uncharacterized LOC122513957". The record is from RNAcentral. Lineage: Eukaryota; Metazoa; Arthropoda; Insecta; Hymenoptera; Vespidae.
UAAAAGCAUUUCUCUUGUGCUUGUUGGCUUUCUUAUAUCUUGUGUAUAAUUUUCUUCCAACCCAUACCGGUAUACCUACGAUAAAAAAAAAGUACCGCUAUACCAGCAACCAAAGCAAUUCCAACAGGAGCACCAACGAGAGUUCCUAGCUGCCAAAGAAUCUUCUUCUUUCUGGACCACGGCUUUUUACCCCAAAAAGUACAGCCAGAAGGACUGUUCAAAAAUAAUCGAAACGUAUCAUUAAAACAUGUUGAAAUUUUUGCCUAAUAUAAUUGAUAUCAUUAAUCAAUAAUAAUAUUAAUACCUAAGAUAAUGAAGAUCACUGAUUUCUUUCAUGCAAAGCCAACAAAAUUCGGCUCCACAAACGGCACAUGUCAUAUGAUUACAAGUUCCAUCGUCCAUUUUAACGAUGAGAGCUUGACAUCGUGGACAUGGUUUAAUAUCAUCUCCUGAAAGAAUAAGAAUGGCAUAAUAACC